This 251-nucleotide ribosomal RNA is filed under the name uncultured bacterium. Its description in RNAcentral is "partial 16S ribosomal RNA". It matches the Rfam family "Bacterial small subunit ribosomal RNA", at positions 525 to 775 of the family's 1533-position model. The record is from RNAcentral.
ACGUAGGUCACAAGCGUUGUCCGGAAUUACUGGGUGUAAAGGGAGCGCAGGCGGGCGAUCAAGUUGGAAGUGAAAUCCAUGGGCUCAACCCAUGAACUGCUUUCAAAACUGAUCGUCUUGAGUAGUGCAGAGGUAGGCGGAAUUCCCGGUGUAGCGGUGGAAUGCGUAGAUAUCGGGAGGAACACCAGUGGCGAAGGCGGCCUACUGGGCACCAACUGACGCUGAGGCUCGAAAGUGUGGGUAGCAAACAG